This 424-nucleotide ribosomal RNA is filed under the name uncultured bacterium. Its description in RNAcentral is "bacterial SSU rRNA". It matches the Rfam family "Bacterial small subunit ribosomal RNA", at positions 355 to 796 of the family's 1533-position model. The record is from RNAcentral.
UGGGGAAUCUUGCACAAUGGGGGCAACCCUGAUGCAGCGACGCCGCGUGAGCGAUGAAGCCCUUCGGGGUGUAAAGCUCUUUCGGCAGGGAAGAUGAUGACGGUACCUGCAGAAGCAGCUGCGGCUAACUACGUGCCAGCAGCCGCGGUAAUACGUAGGCAGCAAGCGUUGUUCGGAGUUACUGGGCGUAAAGGGUGUGUAGGCGGUUCUCUAAGUCUGGUGUGAAAUCUCCCGGCUCAACUGGGAGGGUGCGCCGGAAACUGGAGAGCUAGAGUGUGGGAUGGGAGAGUGGAAUUCCUGGUGUAGCGGUGAAAUGCGUAGAUAUCAGGAGGAACACCUGUGGUGUAGACGGCUCUCUGGACCGCAACUGACGCUGAAACACGAAAGCGUGGGUAGCAAACAGGAUUAGAUACCCCUGUAGUCC